CCUGCAGUGGGGGUGUCCCCCACAAUCUCCUAUAGAGUCCUGGAGGCCCAGGCUGUUGCGGCCACUACCUCACCCAGGCCCCUUGCUCUGGGCAAGAAUGCUGGGGGGUAUCUGUGGACAGAGCCCUAGACUUGGGCUCUAGCCCCAUGCUCUGGCAGCGCCUGGAGCAGUUGUCCUGCUUUCUCCCGACAGACGGCUAGCUCGGUCCACCCUGCUUCUCAUCCCGCUCUUUGGAAUCCACUACACGGUAUUCGCCUUCUCCCCGGAGAACGUCAGCAAGCGAGAAAGACUCGUGUUUGAGCUGGGGCUGGGCUCCUUCCAGGGCUUCGUGGUAGCGGUUCUCUACUGCUUUCUGAAUGGGGAGGUGCAGGCAGAGAUCAAGCGGAAAUGGCGGAGCUGGAAGGUGAACCGAUACUUCGCUGUGGACUUCAAGCACCGGCACCCGUCCCUGGCCAGCAGCGGGGUGAACGGGGGCACCCAGCUCUCCAUCCUGAGCAAGAGCAGCUCCCAGAUCCGCAUGUCCGGCCUCCCGGCUGACAACCUAGCCACCUGAGCCCGCCUGUCCUCCUCUCCUCCACACACAGGCUGGGGCUGCAGGCAGGUGCCAGCCCACGCAUGUUUGUGCCUCUUCCCUCCCCUUGGGCGGGCCCUGGACUGGAAGCUGGGCUCCCUGAGGAGACAAGGGAAGGAGGACUGGCACUGCCCCUCCCUGUGCCGCCCACCCACCAUGGUCACCUGACCCUGACCCCAGACAUGUAAAUAUUCCUCAGAGUUGGAAAAGUCCCAUCCUUUCCCUCUUUGCCCCAGGGCCCCUGUUCACCUCUGGCCAGGCCUCAGCUCUGCCUGCGUGUCUCGGCCAGCCUCAGUGAUGGCCUGACCUCAGGUGUGAGGCCUUGUGAGUUGAGGCUGAAGAGGCCUUGCUUUGGGAGGCUGGGGUGACGCCUCCCUGCAGCCCCCUCAAUGUCUGACUAUGGAUGUGGACUCCUCAGGUCUGCUGCAUCCCUGAGGCCUGCUCGAGGUCUGGCUCAGUGGCCAGAAGGUCCUUCAAUGCAGGUCAGCCCUGAGGCUCCCUCACGCUUACCCGCCAUCUUGGUAUCCAGAGAAGAGCUUCUGGAUACCAGGGCAGUGGGCCAGCUCUAGGGCUCUUCCAAUCAGAGACUUCAUUUGGGGUGGGAGCUGAAGGUCAGGGAAAGUUCUGGUGCUUUUUAUUUGUUCCAAGAAGAGCUGAGAGCCAGAAAUGUGGAUGGGAUUGGGAAGGAGAUGGAGAGUUUGAGGAAUCCAUGUAAGACCUUCACUAUCUCCAUCAUUUUCCUCCCAACUCUAAUGGGCAGGGUUCAUCUGGCAGCCUUCCCUCCUGCCCUGCUCUCCCCAUGGCCGCCUCAGAGCCGCUGUCCCCAAGCCACACCCACCAGAGAGCCCUUAAGCCUUUCCUUUCCCUAUUUCCUCUUAAAGCCAUGCCUGGGAUGAACCAGCCGCUUGCCUGGGAUGUCAGUGAACCCCGAAGCACCUUACAUCUCUGUACACCUAAGGACGGGGCCCAGGGUUCCCCACCCCUCAGUCUUGCCCCUGAAUAAUGAGGAGCCCUAGACACAGCUCCUUGGGCCUGGACUCAACUGCUGAAAUCUCUCUGAGACCUCUGCAAAGACUUCCCUCUGUGUGCCCUUGACGUUGGGUCACCCCGGGCAGCUAGGGUGUCCAGAGGAGAAGCCGCAUCCACUGUGCCCAUUAGCAGAAGCUGCUGAUGGGAGGAGCGGCAGCUCCCCAGCACCCGUCCUGGCUCCCCAUCUGCAGUUAUGCAGCCGGAGCCUCAGCAGGGCAGAACCUCGUUCAGGAAUCAAAA
Long non-coding RNA from Tupaia belangeri chinensis (Chinese tree shrew), 1840 nucleotides. RefSeq lists it as uncharacterized. The record is from RefSeq and is a predicted model, not a curated record. The transcript has 3 exons. Lineage: Eukaryota; Metazoa; Chordata; Mammalia; Scandentia; Tupaiidae.